RNAcentral lists this long non-coding RNA (1512 nucleotides) under Helianthus annuus (common sunflower). The record is from RNAcentral. Lineage: Eukaryota; Viridiplantae; Streptophyta; Magnoliopsida; Asterales; Asteraceae.
AAAGUCAAACUUUACAUUAAAUGCAUGAAAUGAAAGCUAAGCCAAUUCAGUAUAAAUAGAAAAGAAGGUUCAGCUUUCAAAUCCACUCCUUCUUCCUGCCUUCUCUCAAAGGCACAACCCAAUUUUCUUUAAAGUUAUUCACCCCUAAAUUCUACAAAGCCCUGCCUCAUUUUAAGUAUGGUAGCCCCUGACUACUGAUACCCUGUCCAAGUGACGUAGGGCCCCGUAACGUAUGUCAAGGCUUUGCCUAAAUUCGUUGGGGUUCUGUCUCGUGACGUAGGGAUAAAGUAGAAUUGGGUUACUAUACUUGAUGUGGGUACACUAUAUAUUUUAUUAAAUAAUCCAGGAGUUGUACCCAAAAUAUAACAAACCUCCCGAAUAUUUUUCUGACACCCUACACUUCCUAAAAUACACCACAUAUGUGAAAACCGAGCCCGAAAUAUAAUAUAGCAUUAAAAAUAAGUGAAAAACAAGAAAUAGUAAGUUGAGGCGGGCCGCGUAGACCCACCCCAACCAUUCACGCGGGCCGUAUGAAGGUGUAACCGGAUUCCUUUGAUUUCUUAAGUCCAGGCGGGCCGCGUAAGGCCACACCGUUAGUUUACGCGGGCCGCGAGUGUCCCGAUUCGUGGCGCAGCCCGGUGAUGACACGUGUCAUCAUCGUGGCAGGUCUAGAGGAUGAGCCGGACAAGCUAGUCCGUUGACCAGGGUUGACGCGGGCCGCGUGACCCCUGUCCUUUCUUUACGCGGGCCGCGUGGGAACCAGAAUCAGCACCUAUAUAAGCAGGCAUCGGGUUUUAGUAUUCCUCGUUCAUUUCUUUUCUUUCUAAACGAAUUCUGAAGUAGUAGAAGUGAUACGCGGGUAUUAUACCCCCUAAUUAGCGAAGCUCUGCCUCGUUACUAUAACCAAGGAAUCACAAAGGAAAGCCUUAUAAUAGCAAUGUAACUUAGUGUAAAGCCAAUAGAAGCCAGCUGGAGAGCACUGAAGGCUUGGAAAAGUGGCAAUAAAGUUACCUAAAAUAAAAUAGAUGUUUUUAUUAAAUAAAAUAGGAUUUAUUCCUAUGAAAAUGUAUGUACUGAAAAACUUGGGUUUUAUCCCAUGUGUUUAAUAUAAUGAAAAGAAGGUGGUUUUACUCUGAUAAAAUAUUUCCUAACUACGGUCCUGAUGAAAAAUUCCGCUGCCAAAUAGACAAUACGCGAUACCACCGAAACUGGCUCACGGCCGCCCGCUCCUGAGGGAUCGGGGGUUGUGAAAGAAGGUGGUAUCAGAGCUAUGCCACUGGUUCAAGCCAAAGAAGUGUUCUGCUGACACUUAAGUUUUAAAUUCUGUGUUAGGAAAUUAAUAUAACAAUUUAUGUGUUAUUCUGUGUAGAUGAAUCUUAAUAUUUAUAUUAUGGUUUUUAUGUUUUGAGUUCAGAGUAUAAGUAACCAAUAUGACUAGACGUACCCAUAGGCUACCUCGGCAGAUGUAUUAUACAACACUCUUAUACAAUUAGUAACUUAAGGUAUCACCUU